RNAcentral lists this ribosomal RNA (465 nucleotides) under uncultured bacterium. RNAcentral describes it as "partial 16S ribosomal RNA". It matches the Rfam family "Bacterial small subunit ribosomal RNA", at positions 28 to 507 of the family's 1533-position model. The record is from RNAcentral.
GACGAACGCUGGCGGCGUGCUUAACACAUGCAAGUCGAACGGAAAGGCCCUGCUUGCAGGGUACUCGAGUGGCGAAUGGGUGAGUAACACGUGGGUGAUCUGCCCUGCACUUCGGGAUAAGCUUGGGAAACUGGGUCUAAUACCGGAUAGGAGCCAUCUUUAGUGUGGUGGUUGGAAAGUUUUUUCGGUGUAGGAUGAGCUCGCGGCCUAUCAGCUUGUUGGUGGGGUAAUGGCCUACCAAGGCGGCGACGGGUAGCCGGCCUGAGAGGGUGUACGGCCACAUUGGGACUGAGAUACGGCCCAGACUCCUACGGGAGGCAGCAGUGGGGAAUAUUGCACAAUGGGCGCAAGCCUGAUGCAGCGACGCCGCGUGGGGGAUGAAGGCCUUCGGGUUGUAAACUCCUUUCGCUAGGGACGAAGCUUUUUGUGACGGUACCUAGAUAAGAAGCACCGGCUAACUACGUG